AUUGAACGCUGGCGGCAUGCCUUACACAUGCAAGUCGAGCGGCAGCGCGGGGGCAACCCUGGCGGCGAGCGGCGGACGGGUGAGUAAUACAUCGGAACGUGUCCUGUCGUGGGGGAUAACCAGUCGAAAGACUGGCUAAUACCGCAUGAGAUCGAAAGAUGAAAGCGGGGGACCGCAAGGCCUCGCGCGAUUGGAGCGGCCGAUGUCGGAUUAGCUAGNGGCGGGGUAAAGCCCACCAAGGCUACGAUCCGCAGCUGGUUUGAGAGAACGACCAGCCACACUGGGACUGAGACACGGCCCAGACUCCUACGGGAGGCAGCAGUGGGGAAUUUUGGACAAUGGGGGCAACCCUGAUCCAGCCAUGCCGCGUGUGUGAAGAAGGCCUGGUGUAA
RNAcentral lists this ribosomal RNA (392 nucleotides) under uncultured bacterium. RNAcentral describes it as "bacterial SSU rRNA". It matches the Rfam family "Bacterial small subunit ribosomal RNA", at positions 29 to 428 of the family's 1533-position model. The record is from RNAcentral.